Long non-coding RNA from Columba livia (rock pigeon), 800 nucleotides. RefSeq lists it as uncharacterized. NCBI's taxonomy places the organism in Eukaryota, Metazoa, Chordata, Aves, Columbiformes, Columbidae. The record is from RefSeq and is a predicted model, not a curated record. The transcript is spliced from 3 exons.
AAGCAACACACCUGUCCCCAGGAGAGAAGCAAGUGAGGUGGUGGUGCCCUGUGUCUGUACCAAGGAGCUGGUCCUCCUUGGCUGGAAGGAUGGCUGGUACUGGCCCUUAAGAGGACAAGAAGAACAGGACUGAGCCAGACAGACCAGAGACAAGGAACCUGCAAGACCUCCAGGUCCUACCAUGCCAGCUCACAGAGAACUUGCUGAGCCCUAUACCCCUGCAACGACACAAAGCCACCUGCAAUUUGCAACGUUUCUUGCCAACUUUCUGCUUGGCGUGAAUUUCUACAACGGAGCAAUAUAACUUCUGAAAAUAGAUACACUGGAAAGCCUGACACACCCUAUAUGGAGCCUACAAGUGGCAGAACCAUAAUCAAAAGCCAGUCAAGACGGUAGGACAUGCUAGCAGCAUUCAAUUAAGGCUCUGAGUAAAGCAGCCCUAAGAGAAUAAAGUAAAUGGGAACUCUAUGAACCUUGUUGCACGGAACCCCCAGGCGCUUUGCAUCGCUGAGAGGCAUUUGAGUUUGUGCUCUUUAUGGUAACCCUAGGGCGGGCGACUUAUGCCAAUAGAGCUGGCACGUUCAGGACCCCUUUGAAAAAUAAAAAUUCAUGGAAGUGGCCAACCUGCUGUGAUUUCCUGAUACAAAACUAUGUGCAAACCUAUGGGGAAAACAAAACAAAACAAAACAAAAAGCAAACAGUAGUUGUAUGAUACAAGUCUGAGCUCUGCCUGUCAUUAACAGGGGUGGGUUUUCCAGGGUAAAUUCUCCUGGGCCAAAUAACAGGAGACUGAUAAAUAA